CUACGGGUUGCACCAGUGGGGAAUAUUGGACAAUGGGGGAAACCCUGAUCCAGCAAUGCCGCGUGGAGGAUGACGCAUUUCGGUGUGUAAACUCCUUUUAUAUGUCAAGAAAAUGACGGUAGCAUAUGAAUAAGCACCGGCUAACUCCGUGCCAGCAGCCGCGGUAAUACGGAGGGUGCAAGCGUUACUCGGAAUCACUGGGCGUAAAGGACGCGUAGGCGGGUUGGAAAGUCAGGUGUGAAAUCCUACAGCUUAACUGUAGAACUGCACUUGAAACUUCUAAUCUAGAGUAUGGGAGGGGGAGAUGGAAUUAGGGGUGUAGGGGUAAAAUCCGUAGAUAUCACUAGGAAUACCUAAAGCGAAGGCGACCUCCUGGAACAUUACUGACGCUAAGGCGUGAAAGCGUGGGGAGCAAACAGGAUUAGAUACCCCCGUAGUC
Molecule: ribosomal RNA, 439 nt
Filed under: uncultured bacterium
Lineage: Bacteria
Description: partial 16S ribosomal RNA
Rfam family: Bacterial small subunit ribosomal RNA
Source: RNAcentral